GAUGAACGCUGGCGGCGUGCCUAAUACAUGCAAGUCGAGCGAACGGACGAGAAGCUUGCUUCUCUGAUGUUAGCGGCGGACGGGUGAGUAACACGUGGAUAACCUACCUAUAAGACUGGGAUAACUUCGGGAAACCGGAGCUAAUACCGGAUAAUAUUUUGAACCGCAUGGUUCAAAAGUGAAAGACGGUCUUGCUGUCACUUAUAGAUGGAUCCGCGCUGCAUUAGCUAGUUGGUAAGGUAACGGCUUACCAAGGCAACGAUGCAUAGCCGACCUGAGAGGGUGAUCGGCCACACUGGAACUGAGACACGGUCCAGACUCCUACGGGAGGCAGCAGUAGGGAAUCUUCCGCAAUGGGCGAAAGCCUGACGGAGCAACGCCGCGUGAGUGAUGAAGGUCUUCGGAUCGUAAAACUCUGUUAUUAGGGAAGAACAUAUGUGUAAGUAACUGUGCACAUCUUGACGGUACCUAAUCAGAAAGCCACGGCUAACUACGUGCCAGCAGCCGCGGUAAUACGUAGGUGGCAAGCGUUAUCCGGAAUUAUUGGGCGUAAAGCGCGCGUAGGCGGUCUUUUAAGUCUGAUGUGAAAGCCCACGGCUCAACCGUGGAGGGUCAUUGGAAACUGGAAAACUUGAGUGCAGAAGAGGGAAAGUGGAAUUCCAUGUGUAGCGGUGAAAUGCGCAGAGAUAUGGAGGAACACCAGUGGCGAAGGCGACUUUCUGGUCUGUAACUGACGCUGAUGUGCGAAAGCGUGGGGAUCAAACAGGAUUAGAUACCCUGGUAGUCCACGCCGUAAACGAUGAGUGCUAAGUGUUAGGGGGUUUCCGCCCCUUAGUGCUGCAGCUAACGCAUUAAGCACUCCGCCUGGGGAGUACGACCGCAAGGUUGAAACUCAAAGGAAUUGACGGGGACCCGCACAAGCGGUGGAGCAUGUGGUUUAAUUCGAAGCAACGCGAAGAACCUUACCAAAUCUUGACAUCCUUUGACAACUCUAGAGAUAGAGCCUUCCCCUUCGGGGGGGCAAAGUGACAGGUGGUGCAUGGUUGUCGUCAGCUCGUGUCGUGAGAUGUUGGGUUAAGUCCCGCAACGAGCGCAACCCUUAAGCUUAGUUGCCAUCAUUAAGUUGGGCACUCUAAGUUGACUGCCGGUGACAAACCGGAGGAAGGUGGGGAUGACGUCAAAUCAUCAUGCCCCUUAUGAUUUGGGCUACACACGUGCUACAAUGGACAAUACAAAGGGCAGCGAAACCGCGAGGUCAAGCAAAUCCCAUAAAGUUGUUCUCAGUUCGGAUUGUAGUCUGCAACUCGACUACAUGAAGCUGGAAUCGCUAGUAAUCGUAGAUCAGCAUGCUACGGUGAAUACGUUCCCGGGUCU
This 1374-nucleotide ribosomal RNA is filed under the name uncultured bacterium. RNAcentral describes it as "bacterial SSU rRNA". It matches the Rfam family "Bacterial small subunit ribosomal RNA", at positions 28 to 1381 of the family's 1533-position model. The record is from RNAcentral.